CAGCGCGGUAACACCUGCGUCACAAGUGGCAAUCGCGUUUAUUGGGCCUAAAGCGUUCGUAGCCGGAUCAAUCAGUCUUGGGUGAAAUCGUUGCGCUUAACAAAACGACGUGCUUGAGAUACUGUUGGUCUAGGGACCGGGAGGCGUUAGAAGUAUUCUGGGGGGAGCGGUAAAAUGUUAUAAUCCUCGGAGGACUACCUGUGGCGAAGGCGUCUAACGAGAACGGGUCCGACGGUGAGGAACGAAAGCUAGGGGAGCAAACCGGAUUAGAUACCCGAGUAGUCCUAGCCGUAAACGCUGUGUACUAGAUGUUGCAUAAUCUACAUGGUUGUGCAGUGUCGGAGCGAAGGUGUUAAGUACACCGCCUGGGAAGUACGGUCGCAAGGCUGAAACUUAAAGGAAUUGGCGGGGGAGCACGGUCAUAGCUGUUUUCCUG
This 436-nucleotide ribosomal RNA is filed under the name Euryarchaeota archaeon AAA008-E08. RNAcentral describes it as "SSU rRNA". It matches the Rfam family "Archaeal small subunit ribosomal RNA", at positions 462 to 898 of the family's 1478-position model. The record is from RNAcentral. Lineage: Archaea; Methanobacteriati; Methanobacteriota.